RNAcentral lists this ribosomal RNA (429 nucleotides) under bacterium. RNAcentral describes it as "partial 16S ribosomal RNA". It matches the Rfam family "Bacterial small subunit ribosomal RNA", at positions 355 to 776 of the family's 1533-position model. The record is from RNAcentral.
UGGGGAAUCUUCCGCAAUGGACGAAAGUCUGACGGAGCAACGCCGCGUGAGUGAUGACGGCCUUCGGGUUGUAAAGCUCUGUUAAUCGGGACGAAUGGUUCUUGUGCGAAUAGUGCAAGGAUUUGACGGUACCGGAAUAGAAAGCCACGGCUAACUACGUGCCAGCAGCCGCGGUAAUACGUAGGUGGCAAGCGUUGUCCGGAAUUAUUGGGCGUAAAGCGCGCGCAGGCGGAUUGGUCAGUCUGUCUUAAAAGUUCGGGGCUUAACCCCGUGAUGGGAUGGAAACUGCCAAUCUAGCGUAUCGGAGAUGAAAGUGGAAUUCCUAGUGUAGCGGUGAAAUGCGUAGAUAUUAGGAAGAACACCAGUGGCGAAGGCGACUUUCUGGACGAAAACUGACGCUGAGGCGCGAAAGCCAGGGGAGCGAACGGG